RNAcentral lists this ribosomal RNA (1081 nucleotides) under uncultured Rhizaria. RNAcentral describes it as "SSU rRNA". It matches the Rfam family "Eukaryotic small subunit ribosomal RNA", at positions 577 to 1674 of the family's 1831-position model. The record is from RNAcentral.
CGGUAAUUCCAGCUCCAAUAGCGUAUACUAAAGUUGUUGCAGUUAAAAAGCUCGUAGUUGGAUUUCUGCGGGGACGGAGCGGCCGGUCGCAACUUGCGACUCGAGCUAGCGCUUUCCCCGCAUCCUGCCGCGAACCGUGCUACCAUUAGUUUGGUGGCGCUGGGGAUCGGCUCGAUUACUUUGAGAAAAAUAGAGUGUUCAAAGCAGGCCACACGCCUUGAAUAAGUUAGCAUGGAAUAAUGACUAAGGACUUUGGUUCUUUUCGUUGGUGUUCGGGACUGAAGUAAUGAUUGAUAGGGACAGUUGGGGCGGUCCGUAUUCCAAAGCGAGAGGUGAAAUCCUUAGACCUUCGGAAGACGAACAGCUGCGAAAGCGUUCCGCAAGGAUGUUCCCUUUGAUCAAGAACGAAAGUUGGGGGAUCGAAGACGAUCAGAUACCGUCGUAGUCUCAACUAUAAACUAUACCAGCUAGGGAUCGGCCAACGUUUAAUUAUUCGACUUGGUCGGCACCUUAUGAGAAAUCAAAGCAUCUGGGUUCCGGGGGGAGUAUGGUCGCAAGGCUGAAACUUAAAGGAAUUGACGGAAGGGCACCACCAGCCGUGGAGCCUGUGGCUUAAUUUGACUCAACACGGGAAAACUUACCAGGUCCGGACAUAGUAAGGAUUGACAGAUUGAUAGCUCUUUCUUGAUUCUGUGGGUGGUGGUGCAUGGCCGUUUUUAGUCGGUGGAUGUGAUCUGUCUGCUUAAUUGCGUUAACGGACGAGACCCCAGCCUGCUAAAUAGCGCGGCCGAGCUUUGCUCGGUGCGAGCUUCUUAGAGGGACCAUGAUGCGCGAUAGCACAAGGAAGUUUGGGGCAACAACAGGUCUGUGAUGCCCUUAGAUGUUCUGGGCCGCACACGGGCUACACUGGCGCCUGCAACGAGCAUAUCAGCUGGCCCGAGAGGGUCUUGGCUAAUCUUUGGAACCGGCGCCGUGCUUGGGAUUGACCAUUGCAAUUGUUGGUCAUGCAACGAGGAAUGCCUUGUAAACGCGAGUCAUCAGCUCGCAUUGAAUACGUCCCUGCCCUUUGUACACACCGCCC